AAAUUGAAGAGUUUGAUCAUGGCUCAGAUUGAACGCUGGCGGCAGGCCUAACACAUGCAAGUCGAACGGUAGCACAGAGAGCUUGCUCUCGGGUGACGAGUGGCGGACGGGUGAGUAAUGUCUGGGAAACUGCCUGAUGGAGGGGGAUAACUACUGGAAACGGUGGCUAAUACCGCAUAACGUCGCAAGACCAAAGAGGGGGACCUUCGGGCCUCUUGCCAUCAGAUGUGCCCAGAUGGGAUUAGCUAGUUGGUGAGGUAACGGCUCACCAAGGCGACGAUCCCUAGCUGGUCUGAGAGGAUGACCAGCCACACUGGAACUGAGACACGGUCCAGACUCCUACGGGAGGCAGCAGUGGGGAAUAUUGCACAAUGGGCGCAAGCCUGAUGCAGCCAUGCCGCGUGUAUGAAGAAGGCCUUCGGGUUGUAAAGUACUUUCAGCGGGGAGGAAGGUGUUGUGGUUAAUAACGACAGCAAUUGACGUUACCCGCAGAAGAAGCACCGG
RNAcentral lists this ribosomal RNA (504 nucleotides) under Salmonella enterica. RNAcentral describes it as "bacterial SSU rRNA". It matches the Rfam family "Bacterial small subunit ribosomal RNA", at positions 1 to 496 of the family's 1533-position model. Lineage: Bacteria; Pseudomonadati; Pseudomonadota; Gammaproteobacteria; Enterobacterales; Enterobacteriaceae. The record is from RNAcentral.